GGCGAUUUAGCGAAGUGGUUAACGCGCCAGAUUAAGGAUCUUGCGCUUAUCGCAAAGAUUCUCUGGUCCUCCGGGGCGUGGGUUCGAGUCCCACAGUCGUCA
This 102-nucleotide transfer RNA is filed under the name Tilletiaria anomala UBC 951. It matches the Rfam family "tRNA". Rfam says of the family: Transfer RNA (tRNA) molecules are approximately 80 nucleotides in length. Their secondary structure includes four short double-helical elements and three loops (D, anti-codon, and T loops). Lineage: Eukaryota; Fungi; Basidiomycota; Exobasidiomycetes; Georgefischeriales; Tilletiariaceae. The record is from Rfam by way of RNAcentral.